GACAGAGGGUGCAAACGUUGUUCGGAAUUACUGGGCGUAAAGCGAGUGUAGGCGGUCUUAUAAGUCGGGUGUGAAAGCCCCGGGCUCAACCCGGGAAGUGCACCCGAAACUGUGAGGCUAGAGUAUCGGAGAGGUUGGUGGAAUUCUCGGUGUAGAGGUGAAAUUCGUAGAUAUCGAGAGGAACACCGGUGGCGAAGGCGGAUCUCUGGGCCAUUACUGACGCUGAGGAGCGAAAGCGUGGGGAGCGAACAGG
RNAcentral lists this ribosomal RNA (253 nucleotides) under uncultured bacterium. RNAcentral's name for it is "partial 16S ribosomal RNA". It matches the Rfam family "Bacterial small subunit ribosomal RNA", at positions 524 to 776 of the family's 1533-position model. The record is from RNAcentral.